GAUGCUGUCAUAACGGAAGACAGCGAUGCAUUUUUGUUCGGCGCGAGUACUGUAUAUCGCAAUGUGUUCAACACCAAAAAAUACGUGGAAGUAUACUCUGUAGAAAAUAUACAGCGGGAUAUAGGUCUUAAACGGGCACAGAUGGCUGAACUCGCACUGUUGCUCGGAUCCGAUUACACAGAAGGUAUACCUGGGGUGGGUAUUGUUAAUGCUCUUGAAAUUGCAUCUGUAUUCUCCGGAAUGGAUGGCCUAACGACAUUUCGAAACUGGGUGGAAAAUGGUGAUCUUCCUGAUCAAGUUAAUCGUGGGAAUCGAUGUUUGGCAGGGUCAAGUUUGCCAAAAAAACAUGUCGUGGCAAAAGAUGGCGAAGGCGGCCAUUUAGUGUCGGACAAGGAAAAAAACAUCGAUUUGAAGGAAGGUGAAGUUGCAAAUAUCUACCUCCAACGAGAAAUCUUCAAGCAAAAGCACCAAGCCGCGAGAACAAGAUGGAUUUUACCAAAUGACUUUCCUUCAGUUGCGGUGAUCGAAGCGUAUGCAAAGCCUUUAGUUGACUCCUCGAAGGUGCACCUUGAAUGGGGCAAGCCUAACUUUGAGCUCCUUCGCGUCUUUUGUCUCGAAAG
This 620-nucleotide long non-coding RNA is filed under the name Micromonas commoda. Its description in RNAcentral is "long non-coding RNA (MCOM_LNC000066)". The record is from RNAcentral. Lineage: Eukaryota; Viridiplantae; Chlorophyta; Mamiellophyceae; Mamiellales; Mamiellaceae.